This 72-nucleotide transfer RNA is filed under the name Camelus bactrianus (Bactrian camel). It matches the Rfam family "tRNA". Rfam says of the family: Transfer RNA (tRNA) molecules are approximately 80 nucleotides in length. Their secondary structure includes four short double-helical elements and three loops (D, anti-codon, and T loops). Further hydrogen bonds mediate the characteristic L-shaped molecular structure. tRNAs have two regions of fundamental functional importance: the anti-codon, which is responsible for specific mRNA codon recognition, and the 3' end, to which the tRNAs corresponding amino acid is attached (by aminoacyl-tRNA synthetases). tRNAs cope with the degeneracy of the genetic code in two manners: having more than one tRNA (with a specific anti-codon) for a particular amino acid; and 'wobble' base-pairing, i.e. permitting non-standard base-pairing at the 3rd anti-codon position. RNAcentral also lists the same sequence under 2 other names. Lineage: Eukaryota; Metazoa; Chordata; Mammalia; Artiodactyla; Camelidae. The record is from Rfam by way of RNAcentral.
GAGGGUAUAACUCAGUGGUAGAGCACAUGCUUAGCAUGCAUAAGGUCCUGGUUUCAAUCCCCAGUAUCUCCU